CGAACGCUGGCGGCAGGCCUAAUACAUGCAAGUCGAGCGCACCUUCGGGUGAGCGGCGGACAGGUGAGUAACGCGUGGGAACGUGCCCUUUGGUUCGGAACAACACAGGGAAACUUGUGCUAAUACCGAAUGUGCCCUUCGGGGGAAAGAUUUAUCGCCAUUGGAGCGGCCCGCGUUGGACUAGGUAGUUGGUGGGGUAAAGGCCCACCAAGCCGACGAUCCAUAGCUGGUCUGAGAGGAUGAUCAGCCACACUGGGACUGAGACACGGCCCAGACUCCUACGGGAGGCAGCAGUAGGGAAUCUUGCGCAAUGGGCGAAAGCCUGACGCAGCCAUGCCGCGUGAAUGAUGAAGGUCUUAGGAUUGUAAAAUUCUUUCACCGGGGAAGAUAAUGACGGUACCCGGAGAAGAAGCCCCGGCUAACUUCGUGCCAGCAGCCGCGGUAAUACGAAGGGGGCUAGCGUUGCUCGGAAUUACUGGGCGUAAAGGGCGCGUAGGCGGAUAGUUUAGUCAGAGGUGAAAGCCCAGGGCUCAACCUUGGAACUGCCUUUGAUACUGGCUAUCUUGAGUUCGGGAGAGGUGAGUGGAAUGCCGAGUGUAGAGGUGAAAUUCGUAGAUAUUCGGCGGAACACCAGUGGCGAAGGCGACUCACUGGCCCGAUACUGACGCUGAGGCGCGAAAGCGUGGGGAGCAAACAGG
RNAcentral lists this ribosomal RNA (698 nucleotides) under uncultured Alphaproteobacteria bacterium. RNAcentral's name for it is "bacterial SSU rRNA". It matches the Rfam family "Bacterial small subunit ribosomal RNA", at positions 30 to 776 of the family's 1533-position model. The record is from RNAcentral. Lineage: Bacteria; Pseudomonadati; Pseudomonadota; Alphaproteobacteria.